RNAcentral lists this long non-coding RNA (5096 nucleotides) under Mus musculus (house mouse). RNAcentral describes it as "long non-coding RNA chr3:10955546-10960642". Lineage: Eukaryota; Metazoa; Chordata; Mammalia; Rodentia; Muridae. The record is from RNAcentral.
GAAUGGGAGACCAAUAUGAUGCUCCUCUCUCACACACACACACAUGCCCCUACUAUUAAUGCAUGGAUAAAUACACACUAAAGUCCAGAGAACUAAUUUUCAGAAAAUACAGAAAAACAUUAAAAACAUAAAAUUUUUUCCUGCCCUAAUAUGUUUUGCCCAGUUAAUUCCCCUGUGAUUUAAUGGAUGAUAAAAGGAGGAAGUGGGGUUAUCUGAAGCACUGGGAAAGACCUCCACAAAGGUUCAAAGCAAUGCCUGGAAAGGCUCCAGUUAUGCAGGUUCCCACCUAUUUCUCUACACCAAAUAGAGCCUCUGGGAAACAAAGCAAUUAUCUCAAAGUCAUUAUGCUCAGAAAAGGAGCUCUUAGCCAUAACCUGAAUGUAAGAGAUUUGGGUACAGUGGCAUAUAGGAAACAGAUACAAAGCACAAUGAGCCUCAAACAGCCUGAAAACGAAACUCAAGUGUUAAUUGCAUUUAACAUGUAAAUACAACUUGACCAGCUACCACUAUCAAAAGAAACUGUAUGGAAGAAAAGCAACCUGGAAGUUUGUAAUAGUUCAGUAACAGUAGACGGCUACAUCUGUGGACAAAUCAUCCUUUUCCCUUUUAAUUGUAUCUGUUUGUUGGUGUCCUUCAACCUAGCACUAUUAAAUGUACUCUUCCUUGAACAGAAUGGAAAUAUCUAAGGAAGCAGUUUCUCCUCCCACUGAGAUUCAAAGAACUGGAAGUUGCUUGUGGGGCUGGUGAAAUGGCUCAGCACUUAAGAACGCUGGCUGCUCUUCCAGAAGACCCGGAUUCAGUUUCCAGUAUCUACAUGACAGAUUAUAGCCCUCUGUAACUCAUAUUCCAGAGGGCUUUGACACCCUCUUUAGCCUCCAUUGGAACUUCACACAUUGUUACGCAGUGUUUCAAUUUUUUUUUUUUUUGUAUGCUCAAAACUUAAGGCAUGUUUUGAACCUCUGAGAAUGAAAAAUGAAAAGAAAAUGUUUGAAAAAAUAUUUGACAUUUCAAGGAAGUUUCUUGUCUUAUUUUUACUGAUAUAAUUAGAAAUUAAACUUCAUUGUUGACAAUAUUAUACUAAUUGAAAACUAAAAGCAGACAAUGAGAGACCAGAUUCCCAAAGAAUAAAAACAAACAACAACAAAUGAAAACAAUAGCAGCCUCAGAAACUGUGGCUCUUCAGCAUUCUACUCUCCCCUUCAUGGUCAUUUGCUAAUGUGUGGGGGCAAAUGACAUGGGGUGACAUGGACAGAGAGAAGUGAGCGUGAGGGACUGAAAUCACAGGGACAUUUCAAUACCUUUUAUUCAGGCAAGGAGAUAAGAAUUAAGUGCUUGAUUUGGUCAAGUCAGCUGCAGUUGGUUAGAUCCAAGACAAAAGAGCAAAAGGAGAAAGGAGGGAGUCCCAUACUCCACAGCUUUUAUCUCAUGAAAAAUUUUAACUCUAAACUCAAGAGAGUGGCCAAACCCCAGAUGCCUGAGCUCCUCACAACCCUUAUUUUUCUUUCUCCAUCAGCAAGAUGUAUGUGUGUAAGCUCCUGCGUGCACAAGAGUAUGUUCUCAGCACUCAACACACUCACCUCAUGAAACCCAUGUAUCGGUUGCACAUAAGAGACUGGGGUGGGCACUGAACUAUACAGUACACAGUGUGAUGCUUGCCAUUUACCCAGAGUGGUAGAGGGUGUGGCUGCAUAUAAAUAUCUCUAGAGUAGUUACUGUCACUAGCCCAGGGAGAGACAGAACUUCAAAGUUAGAAAUGCAGUUUCUGCUGAAUCUAUUCCAUAUCAUCAUAAUAUAAAAAUAAUUAUUAAGUUGAGCUACCAUAAGUAAGAGAAUAUCUGUACUUGACAUAGGUCCUUCUCCAAGCACUGUUUGGUGACAUGUCAAGGAUUUUGUCAUAGGACCUUCUAUAACAUGUCUGGAACAUUUUGUGGGUCAUUUUAAUCUUUACUGGCCAAGGAUUUGGCUUAUAUUGUAUAAUUUUCUCAAUUCCCUGAGAAGACUAGUUUAUGCAUUUUCGGCAUAUUUAGAAAGAAGUUGUAUGAUGGCUCAGAGUAGAAUUAGUGUUUUUAUUUAAAAAGAUUUUAUAACUCAAACUAAAUUCUUGAAUGUUAGUUGAUUAUAUUUGAGAAGCAUUUCUGUCUUCAUCAGAUUUUCUCAUUUAGAAAUUAACAUAAUCUUAGAUAAUUAAUGGUUAUUAAAUUUAAGCUCCAAAUUUAAAAUUAUUUAUAAAUCAACAUAUGUAUAGACAAAUGAAUUCGGAUUAAUUUAAGCAUCAAGGGCAGCUUAUUAAUGAAGACCAAGCAGCGUUCUGAAUAGAAGCAUUUCAGAAUGAAGUUAUCUCAAGAUGACAAGCAUUUGAAGCUUUCCCAACCGAAUGAAACUCAAACCAGCAGAGCAAAUGCAUAUUUUAUUUUAGACCUUCAAAGGAUUUUAUAAACCUUCUGGAUUUGUUGCAGUACUUACUUACAAGAUUUGAAUUGAGUUUUUAGUAGGUAUUUAAUAGUUUAAUUAAUUUUCUGUUUUAAUAUAAGUAUGCAUAUAACUAUUUGAAAUCAUACCUGACUUAAAAUACAAAAGUCUAAUAGGUAGCCUGGUGGUAUUUGUGAUGCUUUUGCAACAUUUAGUAGCAAGUUAGGAGCAGUUCAGGAAAGGUGGGAUCAAAGUUUAGACCAAAGGGUUUGCUAGGUGUGAGGGAGUGCAACAAUGCUAUAACAAACUGCAAAAUGUUCUCUCUAGGAAGAAAUCCCUAGAAGUCUUACGAACUGCUACUUUGUAUAAAGAGAGAGGGAAGACAAAAGAAACAAGGUUCACAGAAACACCAGAGACAAGCCAUGUCAAAUCCAUUAGAACAAUGUACUGAGCUCCCUGUAUAAUCUGUAAAUAACAUAUAAAUCCAUGUGUAUCUGGGAAUUUUACCUAUAUCCCCAAUGUGAAAAUGUUUCAGUACUUUAGUACUGAAUUGUUAUUACCCAGUGCCCACAUCUGGUCAGUUCUGUAGCUGAUAAACUUGAUCGCAGCAACUUAAUUCAGACAAAUGAAAUACACAACUGGGUAACAAAGAGGACAAAUAAUGACCAAACUUAAUGGACAAGUGCAUCAUUGGUUUUUAAUUUAUUAUAUAGUGAAGAACACUUUAGAAAGAACAUGCAUAUCUUUAGAAGUGAUGUCUUUUAGCAAAUUAGUUAAAAUGGGAACAUAUUCUGAAGCUUAGUGAGAAUUUAGGUAAACUGAAAUUGAGUGCUAGGAUGUUAUUUUCACCAAGACAAUGAAGUCUAGUUUGGGUUCCUUGAUUUAUUCCAAGUACUAUAAGGUGGCAAAGGAUGUUUAAAUUAACAGCACUGCACUGUGAGAUAUAACAAUAAAAGGCGGAACAUUUGAAAUAAAACUAGCCUUGGAGUUUAGGCUUCAUAAAAAUAGCAUCCGCAAAGCAUUCCAAUCCCUAAUUACACCUCUUCAGCAUGUUCACGUCCCUUUUCUCAUUGUCUUACUUUGCAAAACAAUCCUGGGCACAAAAUAUUAAAGUAUUCCAUUGUUAGGCAAGCGUUGCAUAAACAUCCAACAUAACAAGAAAAUAAUUGUCUUAACAUCUGGUUCUGGUUCACUGAAAUCCCAAGUUUCUGAAGUCCUUUGUAAAACACCAGCAGAUGCAGAUUUCGAAUUUCCAUGUCAUGGAAGUGUGUUAUUGUUUCAUAAUCAUACUUUAAAGUAUAUAUUAGAGCAUUAAGAUAAUAUGAUGCUUGGGAUUCGUAAUCUUACUUGUCCAUAAAAAAAUUAUUUCGGUUUCUAUCCAUUCAAGUAUACUCUAGUUUUCUUAUCCUGAAUUCACAAAUUCUUUAUUCAGAAUCACUCUGAAAUGAACCAAGGGAGGAAGGAUUCUUUGGUAGCUCUUGGCAUCUGAGGGAUUUGUCAGGGUGGGGGACUCAGGACAGUAGGAGCUUGAGGUGAUCAGGUAUUCAUGUGACCACUUAUUAGGUGCCAGAAAUCUCAAGUUGGAACCAGGGUGGGAAGAGCUCCAAUGAUCUGUUUCUCAUCCAGCUAGGCUGUAUCUAGCAAAGGCUCCAUAUCCCUCAAUUUAAAGCCACAGGUUAUGGACAAAGGUUCAGAAAUGAACAUACAAUGGCAUUUCUGUUUAAAAGCAUAAUGUUGUGGAUAGCCUUGCGACUAAUUAUAUUUGAUGUUAAUUCCAUUCUCCUGUGAGUGGUUGAGAACAAGGAAUGAGUCAGCACUCAGGUGAUUCACUGUAAACCUGCUUCCCACCUUAAUUUGUAAAAUAAAGGAGAGAUGAUGAUUGGGCAGAUAAAAGGGAAGGUGGAGCAGAAGGUGGGAGAGAGAAAAAGGAGAAAAUGGAAGAGAGAAAGGAUGCAGAGGAGGAGGAAGAAGAAAAGCAGAGCAGAAGCACAUGGCCUGGAGAAACCACGAGUUCUAAGGGGUCUUAUAAGCUGUGGAAGAUGGUAGUGUAGUGGUAGAUCUGCUCAAUCUAGGCACACAGCAUGGAUUCAUAUUAACUGAGUUGUGUUUUCAUUGCCAGAGCAUAUUUGGGAGGAGAUUUACAGCAACACCAUAACACUUAUCUUUCUCUAAUUUUUGGGUUUCUAAUUCCUGUUUUUUCCUCCUUACUUGAACAGUAUUGCUUAAUUUGGUUAAGCGUUUAAGGAACUGCAAAGAUCCAUUAGGAUGUGCAAGGACAAGGAUUGUAUUGUUCUUUAUCCUUCCCUUUUUCCACACAGAAUCAGAAAGAGCAGUCUUGUUAGACAACUCUCCAUUAUUGUCCAGUGACAAGAAUCUUCUAGUACCCACAUUUUUAUUAUCUGUCAUAGAACUCCAACUAAGAGAUCAGGGGUGUCAGUGAGCAAUGGCUUGCUUCCAUGUAUUUGCCAAAUCUGUCUGGGAAACAUCAAAGAAAAUGUUUGGAAAAAAUGCAAGUCAAAGACCCCUGCAGCAGUUGGUCUCUGUGCAUCAGAGUCUCACAUGGACCUCACAAAGACUCAUUCAUUUCUAGCCCUUAAUAUGGACCUACUGUCAAGUACCUCCCUCAAAUCUUUAAUAAGGAUAUUUUCAGGCAGAGAAAUGGUUUUAUCAAAGUUUAUUCUCUUGCC